RNAcentral lists this ribosomal RNA (572 nucleotides) under Lophiostoma sp. OTU1 TS-2013. RNAcentral describes it as "eukaryotic LSU rRNA". It matches the Rfam family "Eukaryotic large subunit ribosomal RNA", at positions 62 to 648 of the family's 3401-position model. The record is from RNAcentral. Lineage: Eukaryota; Fungi; Ascomycota; Dothideomycetes; Pleosporales; Lophiostomataceae.
AAACCAACAGGGAUUGCCCUAGUAACGGCGAGUGAAGCGGCAAGAGCUCAAAUUUGAAAUCUGGCCCUCUCAGGGUCCGAGUUGUAAUUUGUAGAGGGNGCUUUGGCGUUGGCCCCGGCCUAAGUUCCUUGGAACAGGACGUCACAGAGGGUGAGAACCCCGUACGUGGCCGCCGGCCUCCGCCGUGUAAAGCCCCUUCNACGAGUCGAGUUGUUUGGGAAUGCAGCUCUAAAUGGGAGGUAAAUUUCUUCUAAAGCUAAAUACUGGCCAGAGACCGAUAGCGCACAAGUAGAGUGAUCGAAAGAUGAAAAGCACUUUGGAAAGAGAGUCAAAAAGCACGUGAAAUUGUUGAAAGGGAAGCGCUUGCAGCCAGACUUGCCUGUAGUUGUUCAUCCGUGCCACUGGCACGGUGCACUCUUCUGCGGGCAGGCCAGCAUCAGUCCGGGCGGUCGGAUAAAGGCCUCGGGAAUGUAGCUCCCCUCGGGGAGUGUUAUAGCCCGGGGUGCCAUGCGACCAGCCUGGACUGAGGUCCGCGCAUCUGCUAGGAUGCUGGCGUAAUGGCUGUAAGCGGC